CCACGAGUAAGGCCAUCGGCGAGGCUAUUGCUAGGGACCGGGGGGUGUGCUUUGGGGCAUAUGCUUGUGGAGUUUGCGCAUAAGCUAUGGCGCGCAAGUUUGGCGUGGUCAUCUCUUCCGGUAUGGAAAGAUUCCAAGGCUGUGUGGAGAGAUUAACGUCUGGUCGUUUUUUUCCUCCGUGUGCUCCGUAGGCAGGACAAGAAUGUCUUUUAGGUGCAUAUAUCCUCGAGUGAUGGUUUAUAUUGAAAAGAACAGAAUAACAGAAGUAAGCUAGAUAUACUCCCCAAGUGCAAGAUAAUAUGCUUUCAUAUUAAAUUACGUAUUCUUAUCACCGACGGCUAGGUCGUGGCUUCGACUGGGUAUUCUCCAGCAGUUUACACAGGGAGCAUACACUUGAGGAAUACAGGGCCUAACCGCUGGAGGGGUUGGAGCUGGCUGGUGGUACUUACUUCUAGGGAUGCUUGGAAGAUAACCUGAGGAGUGACCUGCAGUGAUGGCAACUCCGGAUGAUGCUUGUGAUGUGUUAGGCAGUGAUGAAGGUAGACAAACAGUCACAAGCACCUUGCUUGAGAGUUGAUGAGCACAUCUGGCACAGAGGAUGGCUGUCUGGUGUCAUUGUUCUGAUGAAACUUCGUUCCACACUCCUUUAUUUUCGUUUUCUUAGUUCUAUGUCUCUUUUUCUUCAGAAACAGUGUUGACUGCUCCUUGAUACCUUACUGAGUCUUUCAAAGAAAGCUGCACAAUUGACUGAGCAAGGGGUUUUUUCCUUUUUUUUUUUUUUAGUCCAGCAGUGAUCUGUCUGCUGCAUGUGUUUUCUCCUUAUUCUGUAUAUACUGUGUUCCUACAUAACUUUUCCUAGGUCCGGCGGUGUAGAAAUUACAAUAAUAGUUCACCAGCGGCUAAUAUUCCAUCCCCUUUAGCUGCAAAACGAAGAUAUUCAAUACACGCGUCCACAACGGAUCAGAUCACCAAGUGUAUUUAAAAUAUGUAUACACCCCAAUAAUCCCCGUGUAUUAUUCACAUCAUAUCUUCAUUCAGAAUAACCCAAGCAUGCCUUUGGCCUCAUAGAUUUCCCUGACGGCCGCACUUCAGCGCGUCCAUUUCGCAUACGCCCAUCGCACACGCUCCAAGAUGCGCAAUUGCCGCGCAAUGCCAACACGCACGUUCAAAAGCUCACGGAUGUCCUCCUGGAACUCAUGAUAUGUAGCCCC
Molecule: small RNA, 1211 nt
Filed under: Histoplasma capsulatum var. duboisii H88
Lineage: Eukaryota; Fungi; Ascomycota; Eurotiomycetes; Onygenales; Ajellomycetaceae
Description: Histoplasma capsulatum H88 hypothetical RNA
Source: RNAcentral